CAGUAGCCGCGGUAAUACGUAGGUGGCAAGCGUUGUCCGGAAUUAUUGGGCGUAAAGGGCUCGCAGGCGGUUUCUUAAGUCUGAUGUGAAAGCCCCCGGCUCAAUCGGGGAGGGUCACUGGAAACUGGGAAACUUGAGUGCAGAAGAGGAGAGUGGAAUUCCACGUGUAGCGGUGAAAUGCGUAGAGAUGUGGAGGAACACCAGUGGCGAAGGCGACUCUCUGAUCUGUAACUGACGCUGAGGAGCGAAAGCGUGGGGAGCGAACAGGAUUAGAUACCCAUGUAGUCCCUGUCUCUUAUAC
This 301-nucleotide ribosomal RNA is filed under the name uncultured bacterium. RNAcentral describes it as "partial 16S ribosomal RNA". It matches the Rfam family "Bacterial small subunit ribosomal RNA", at positions 509 to 807 of the family's 1533-position model. The record is from RNAcentral.